Molecule: long non-coding RNA, 1483 nt
Organism: Macrobrachium nipponense
Lineage: Eukaryota; Metazoa; Arthropoda; Malacostraca; Decapoda; Palaemonidae
Exons: 4
Source: RefSeq, a predicted model, not a curated record
UAUGAGACUAACAUGUGACCGCGAGCGGCGUCUAUAAAACCCACUACCUCGUCCUGGUUAUCAUCACAGGUUCUCUCUCCGUCGUCCAAAACACGGAAGGACAAAGUUCCAGUGUAAUAGGCUCAGCAAGUUUUGAUUUUCUCUCUGUCAAAAUAUCCGUCUCAGGAGUGGCUAAGAAGACAGCUUCCUGUCGGGAAUCCUUUGAUAAGAUGGAUCGGAUGCUACAAGACUUUCAUGCGGCAGAUGGCACAUUAAUGCACAGUAGCGGAUGGCCUCCGCAGGACCAAAUUCUGGAGCCCAUCACCAAAUGCUCCAGGCACUUGGGGAGGACUGCUCCGAGUUACCGAAUGAAGAAAGGUGGGCGCCACUUCGAUCUAGCUCGAGCGUUCUCCCACAAGGGCAGACACGCCAUCCUCUGCUCUUCUUUGGCAGGCUUAUCAAGCAGCCAGCCGAAGGAUCUCAAGAAUGACGCAUUCAGUAGCUGGUACAGCCGCAGCACCAGCGAUCCUUGGCGAAACGGACGCAUCAGGUUCCGUUGUCACGGAAACUAAACUCCCGAUCCGCAGAGAGAAACUCAAGAUGCGACCUUGAGUAGCAGGUCAGUGGAAGAAGCUGACCAUGUCAUCUGAACCUGCUUGAACAGUUUCCCCAAAGGUCGCAAAUAAGCAUCACAGGUCCUGGUAUAACGGACGAACACAUCGGACCCGACUGGAAUAUCCAAGAUGUGAACUUGGAUAAGUGGCCCUUGCAAAACGGCCGAUUACACUUGGACCCGCAAAUAGUGUGCCCAGGUCUUCUUUCAACUUCUGACCUCCAACCCUCUGCCCGAUGACUGAACAACCUCUGACUGUACCCAGUCUGGGUUGAGCUGAAGACUUCACCAGGCUUUUCAUAAGUGCCAUGAUGCGACUUUGGCUGAGGAGUCUGGCCGGCCGGAAGCAAAGCCUGGAUCUUGGAAUAGGAGGAGGGGUUCAAGGUCCUAAACAACAGCAGAAGGGGUUCAAUCAAGGCACACGCGGUGUCCCAGUCUAUUGGAUGAUCACUCUUGAAACCCUAUGGAAGAAGAGGACGGUUUCCAUCAGGAAAGGUCGUCACUGAAGUUGAUCCCACCUGGAAAAAGUGAUUUCAGUGUGGAAAGUCUCCAGCAGAAACAACUGAGGUUAACCACAGCAAAGAGUUAAAAGCACCAAGAAAGGAGUUAGUCUUAACUCACAGCACUGCAGAAAGGUAUCUUCAAAAUGCCAGUCUGCUGCUAACAGAACUCGCGUGGGACAAAAUUCAGACUUAUGCUUAGGAAAGGAGCCUUUACUGGAAAUUUCAACCAGUAAACAAAAUCUUACGUUAUUUGAGGUUGCAAAAUUAGCAUAUUGUUUUUUCAUAUCGGCAAAAACUGCAAGAGCUCCUCAGACACAGUGUGAUCUCAUAUGUUCAAUUCUCAUGGGCUGUUAGAAGAGAAAGUGUGAAUAAAAUCAGUAUACAGCAA